GUUUGGGGCUUUCUGUGCUGUUCUUUAGGCUAUUUUUUUCCCCAAAGCAGAACUCAUCAAUACCUGCAUGCCACAGGAUGAUGCUCGUGGAGGACAGGAUCUGAAGUCAUCAUGAGGCAUAUGGAAGAAGCAGUACCAUCACCGUCCAGAUGAUGCUUUGUUAGAUGCUUCCCUCUCACCAGGUCCCUGCAGUGCAGUUUCUUGCCCAGGACAUUCCUGGCCAAACUGUGGGCUUGGAUGGAGGCCAAGCAGCUGAGUACGAGUCUAGAUAAGAUGGAAGGUGAUGUUGCUCAGGGGAAAACAGCUGGCUAAUGUCAUUCAGUUCAUCUUGGCUCUUCCACCUGGGUAAUUUUCCAUUUUUAUAUGAUUUCAAUAUCUGAUAUUGCAGCAUCCAGGAUUACUUUUGAAGCCUCAAAUAAUAGCUCAAAAGGUCAAGAAAGCAAUGUCAUGAUGAGAAAUGAUAUUAGAAGCAACACAUGCAUGAUCUUACGCUUGUGAGAAAACUUUGGUGUAUAUGUAUAUACAGACAACUGUAUAUUUCAGGUCACCAAAUCUUCAAAAAGACAACAUGGAUUAAAAGAAAAAAAAAAAAAGAUCCUUACAAGGACAACUAAAAUGACUAAAAGGAGAUGGCAGUUUUUAUUGUGAGAGCAGACUGAAAAGAUUACCCUCUUCAUCCUGCAAGGGGCUUGGACUGCAGCCCAUAAAUCAAGAAGCAAUGGGAAGGCUGGGGCGAACACCACUUUGUCCAUCGGAUUCCAUGGUGCGGCCGCUGAGAGUGCCACUUAAAGCUUGACAAAGCUCCUUUCAGGAUACAGAAAGACCAUCUUCAUGAGGCCGUCAUGACCCAUCAACCAAGUGAAAUCUCAGCAUUUCCCCACUGACCAGACUGAACAUCUGACUAUUACAGUAUCUCAACAAACAAAAUGCCAGAAGGCUCAACUUCUAUGAGGCCCCAUGGGAAACAUGAACAUUUAAAGUGUAAUGGACAAACAGAAGCCUGUGAGUGAGAAAAAGAACGGUGAGGGAGCUGGAAAGGAAAGAGAAUCAGGGGACUGCAGGUUUACGGAAGCUAAGAGAAGCAAGACUUUUUAGAAGUGACCAACAUGUCCAAAUGAAACAGAAAAAUCCAGUAAAAUAAAGGAUGAGGGGCUUCCCCAUGGCUGAGUGUUUGAGUUUGCAAGCUCUGCUUCGGCGGCCCAGGGUUUCGCUGGUUCCCAU
Molecule: non-coding RNA, 1221 nt
Organism: Equus caballus (horse)
Lineage: Eukaryota; Metazoa; Chordata; Mammalia; Perissodactyla; Equidae
Source: RefSeq, a predicted model, not a curated record